Molecule: ribosomal RNA, 253 nt
Filed under: uncultured bacterium
Lineage: Bacteria
Description: partial 16S ribosomal RNA
Rfam family: Bacterial small subunit ribosomal RNA
Source: RNAcentral
UACAGAGGUGCCGAGCGUUAGGCGGAAUCACUGGGCUUAAAGCGUGUGUAGGCGGAUGCCUAAGUACCUUGUGAAAUCCCACAGCUCAACUGUGGAACUGCUUGGUAUACUGGGUGUCUUGAGCCACUUAGGGGUUACCGGAACAAAUGGUGGAGCGGUGAAAUGCGUAGAGAUCGGAAAGAACACCAACGGCGAAAGCACUCUGCUGGGCCGACACUGACACUGAGAGACGAAAGCUAGGGGAGCGAAUGGG